Molecule: ribosomal RNA, 427 nt
Filed under: Neoeurys sp. SS-2014
Lineage: Eukaryota; Metazoa; Arthropoda; Insecta; Hymenoptera; Pergidae
Description: eukaryotic LSU rRNA
Source: RNAcentral
CCCGAAAGAUCGAACGGGGAGAUUCAUCGUCAGCGACGUCGGCUUCGCCGCGGCUCGCGAUGUCGCGGACCCUCGCGUCCACGGCACGCGGCCGCGUCGCGUUAUGCCCGGCGGCGUAGGCGUGCACUUCUCCCCUAGUAGGACGUCGCGACCCGUUAGGCGUCGGCAUAAGGCCCGUUCAUGGUAGACUGUCACGGCGUUCGCGCCGGGGCAGACCUUCGGUUGCCCGGCCGGCUGCCCGGCGGUACUCGCACGGUAUUGAGCCGCAUCGAACUUGCGUCCAGCCCGUCGCAAGCGCGGUCAGCGUUACCCGGUGUUCGGACCUGGCGCCGUCACCGGGCCUGGCCAGCUGUUGGCAGACGGUGUCCUCGGACGGGCUCGUAAAUUUAAAUACCGGUCGGCGACGCUAUUGCUUUGGGUACUUUCA